AGUGAACGCUGGCGGUAGGCCUAACACAUGCAAGUCGAACGGCAGCACAGUAAGAGCUUGCUCUUACGGGUGGCGAGUGGCGGACGGGUGAGGAAUACAUCGGAAUCUACUUUUUCGUGGGGGAUAACGUAGGGAAACUUACGCUAAUACCGCAUACGACCUACGGGUGAAAGCAGGGGAUCUUCGGACCUUGCGCGAUUGAAUGAGCCGAUGUCGGAUUAGCUAGUUGGCGGGGUAAAGGCCCACCAAGGCGACGAUCCGUAGCUGGUCUGAGAGGAUGGUCCGCCACACUUGAACUUGGACACCGUUCAGACUCCUAAGGGAGGGAGCAGUGGGGAAUAUUUGACAAUUGGCGGCAGCCUGGUUCAACCAGACCGCGGUGGGUAAGAAAGCCUUCCGGUUUGAAAGCCCUUUUGUUGGGAAAGAAAAGCAGCAGGUUAAUACCCCGCUGUUCUGACGGUACCCAAAGAAUAAGCACCGGCUAACUUCGUG
This 492-nucleotide ribosomal RNA is filed under the name uncultured bacterium. Its description in RNAcentral is "partial 16S ribosomal RNA". It matches the Rfam family "Bacterial small subunit ribosomal RNA", at positions 29 to 507 of the family's 1533-position model. The record is from RNAcentral.